RNAcentral lists this ribosomal RNA (247 nucleotides) under Palpitomonas bilix. RNAcentral's name for it is "partial Eukaryotic small subunit ribosomal RNA". It matches the Rfam family "Eukaryotic small subunit ribosomal RNA", at positions 802 to 964 of the family's 1831-position model. The record is from RNAcentral.
AUUGGCUGCAUGCUUCCGCAUGGGAUAACAAAGGAUUGACCAGAUGGGCUUUCGUAUUUUGCUGGCCUUAGUGUCCAUCAAGGGCAAUACGGUGCUGUCCCCCCAGUUAGGUGGCCAACUUCGGUUGCGUUCACCCGAUUGGUGGUGCAGUGCCGACCAGUAAUGAUGGGAGCGUUCGGGGAGAUGGGUAUCGAAACGCUAGAGGUGAAAUUCUUAGAUCGCUUUGGGAUCAGCUGCAGCGAAGGCG